RNAcentral lists this ribosomal RNA (446 nucleotides) under uncultured bacterium. Its description in RNAcentral is "partial 16S ribosomal RNA". It matches the Rfam family "Bacterial small subunit ribosomal RNA", at positions 338 to 795 of the family's 1533-position model. The record is from RNAcentral.
CCUACGGUGGGCAGCAGUCGAGAAUCAUUCACAAUGGGGGAAACCCUGAUGGUGCGACGCCGCGUGGGGGAAUGAAGGCCUUCGGAUUGUAAACCCCUGUCAUGUGGGAGCAAAUUAAAAAGAUAGUACCACAAGAGGAAGAGACGGCUAACUCUGUGCAAGCAGCCGCGGUAAUACAGAGGUCUCAAGCGUUGUUCGGAAUCACUGGGCGUAAAGCGUGCUUAUGCUGUUUCGUAAGUCGUGUGUGAAAGGCGCGGGCUCAACCCGCGGACGGCACAUGAUACUGCGAAACUAGAGUAAUGGAGGGGGAACCGGAAUUCUCGGUGUAGCAGUGAAAUGCGUAGAUAUCGGGAGGAACACUCGUGGCGAAGGCGGGUUCCUGGACAUUAACUGACGCUGAGGCACGAAGGCCAGGGGAGCGAAAGGGAUUAGAUACCCUUGUAGUC